This is a long non-coding RNA of Nicotiana tabacum (common tobacco), 1484 nucleotides long. RefSeq lists it as uncharacterized. The record is from RefSeq and is a predicted model, not a curated record. Lineage: Eukaryota; Viridiplantae; Streptophyta; Magnoliopsida; Solanales; Solanaceae.
CUCAAACGACACUCAUAACUCUCUCUCCCAAAUAGCCUUCCUCGUUACCGGAGAUUACGAGGAGAAGACAAACCACCAUCGGCGGCAACGGCGGCGUUAAAACUGGAAAAUCUGUUAAUACUCAUCUUGCUAAUCCGCUAGGGUUUCUCAAAAUGGUGAGAGAUAAGUUGAAAACUAAUCGAAAAGCCAUCUUGUCCAACUUAUUAAUUUUCUCUUCCUUAAAGUUGUCGCACGAUUUUCGCCUUUGAAGCAGAAUAGUAGCAGCUUUCGCGGUCUUCUUGUCAAGGCAGAAUAUCCCCUAGGGAUCAAUGCAAUAUCUGAGCUUGUAAAAAUCAGAUCUUUUUAAUAUUUGUCAGCGACAAGCAGGAGGCUGUUGCUGCUACCACUGCUAUCCAAGAGGAGAUAUUUUCCGAGAUGAGAAUUGAUCCAAGAUUUGGUCUUGCUUGCUUGGGAAAAAUAAACAUGACUUAUGAGGUUGCUUUAUGGCAUCAUUUUCGUAUAAGGAAAUUUAUUGCGUGAAUUCUUUCUUUGUCCUUCCUGGUUUUCCUAAAAUACUUAGUAUCAUGGAUUUGUCAUAAUUUCUACCCACCAUAGGCUUUAUUUUGCAGCUGAUAAUCACCAAGGAUGUGUAUGCAGCUUAAAUUGAAAUACUAUAAUGUGCUAAGUUGUGUAGAAGUUCUAAAUUCAUUUCUUAGGAAGCAGUCUAUAUUCUUUUCUUGAGGUAUGUUCUGUAUAUAGCUUUUCUAGAUUACCAUAUUAUUUGCAUUCUUUUAUCUUGUCGAGCUUAAAUUGUUCUCAAUUUGAAGUGUUAUCUAAUUUGCAAUUUUAUUAAUAUCUGUCAUGUUAUCGUCUGAAAGACGUCUAUUUAUUUACUUUUAUUUCUCUCUUCUUGGCUCUCAUGUGUAUCUAAUUUUGAAUUCAGACAAUGAGUAUAUAUGUCUCAUUGUUAUAGUGUACGUGAGGGAGAUGCCAUCAACUCCCCUGGAUGGAUUCUUUCUCUUAUUGUUUUAGCUCAGAUGUUCUCCUCUCACUAAUGCUGCCAAGUUUUGUUACAGCAUGUACUGAAACAUGGGAAGCCAAAGGAGCAUUCGUCUAUAAUUAGUAAGCUGAUGGGACAGAUAGUUCAGAUGAGCCAGCAAAUAUUUGCCUCCAAUGAUGUGCAGAAGUGAUCAAGCUUCGGAACUCCCAAAGAACGUCAGACCUUGGUAGACGAGAUGCUUGGCACAACUGAUGAAAAUGAACCUCUUCAGGUGGAGCAACUAAAAAAAGUGAAGAUGGAGAUAGUGAAGAUCUAGACCUUACUUAAUUAAGAAGAACUUUGAAUUGUUGUCGAUGUUCUAGGAGUCUUUUGUUAUCAACAUUUGAAACUUUAACUUUUGAAGUGUUGAACUGUAAAACUUAUGUGAUUGGGUUAAAACAUUUUGCUAUUAUGGGUAUUAUUAGCUUAUUGGACAAUAUAGAUUAUGAAGUGUUUUAUCUUUUUA